UAGAGACGGGGUCUCCCUAUGUUGCCCAAGGUGGUCUUGAACUCCUGGUUUCAAGCAAUCCGCCCGCCUCGGCUUCCCAAAGUGCCGGGAUUACAGGCAUGAGCCACCGGGUCCGCCGCUCAGGUGUUUUUAAAGGACGUAGACCCGGUGGUGAUUGUUGUGGGACGAUGAAAGGGUCCGGCCCCAAGAUCGAUGUAGUUUAGGGAAAUAUCUUUUCCCAAGGAAUGUCUCCGAGUUUACAAGAUGAGCGCCAAGGUCACGCCCCCCGCCCUCCCUCACAGCCCUCUGUUCACAGCAGCACCGUUCUCUUGUGGCCGGUUUUGUUGCUUUUCUGCUUAGCAGCCUCCCUCACAGAACCGUGAUCCCCCCACCCCACACAUCCCUUUCCCCGCUUCCUCCCGCACUCCUCUUCUUCCAGCAGGUGUUUACAGAACAUCCACGGAGUUUGGGCCAAGCCCAGAGUGAGGAGCUGGGCACUGGGGUGGCAGAAGACCAGGCCUUGCCUUGAGCCCUUGUGCGAGCUUUACCUCAAAGCCUCUGUAAUCGAAGUGGGAGAAGGGGUGGUGGUGCGUGGUUGGUCUCAGCCACCUCCACCACUCCUCAGAAGAUGAACGCUGGAUCCAGGAAGAGAUUGUCAAGCCUCCCAAGCCCUGUGGGGACAGUGCACACAGACUAUGAUGGAUGCCUGAAGUGGGUUGCAUUACAAGAGAGGAGCACUGAGCUAAAGGAAUUUGCCUCUUUUAGGCUACACAGAAUUAAGCCUGCUCUUUGAAGGUGGGGAGAUGUUAUCUCAUCCCUCAAACGUUGCUUGCUACAAACACCGCCCAGAGAAAUGGACUGAUAAAGAGCUGGACAUUGGAGUGGCAGAACAGCAAGAAUGAUCAGAGAAGUUCAAGGGCCAUGGCAGAGAGCCUUUUCCAACAUAGUACAGUGUACUUAUACACUACAUAUGAAGGCCAGCUAAUCUAGUCUUGGGAGAACCAAGAGAGGCUUCUGAAAGAGAUGACAUCUAUGCCGAACCUUGAAGGUCAAACAGGAAUCAGCCACAUAAAGAGAAGGAGGAGAGCAUUCUGGAUAGCAGGAACAUCAUGUAUAAAACUUUGAAGUAAACGAUACACUCCGAGAAGUUUUUCAUUCCCUUUCACAUUCAUCUCCAUAUUGAACUCCAAUCUCAAACACCUAUAAUUAAAGUCAGUGUGUGACUCUGGAAGGUCUAGAUUCAAUACACUUCUGUGAAUUGCAGUGGCCUCUGGAAUCUUUACAUUAAUGUCACAUAAAAUUCACAGCUAAUUAUUGUCGACUCAGUUCAUAACAUUUCCACCUUUUCGGUAACUCUUCUUUUUUUACUCCACAGUCCGCCUGGUUAACAGUGAGGCUUUGUAACAGCAUAACUUUAACUAUGGCUACAGUUUAUUGGCUCCUAUUUUGGAAACUGACUCAUGCUGAACUAAUCCCCUUUCCCUGGGAGUUUAAAAUCAAGGUUAGGAGAUUUUUAACGUACCGACUGCUCUCCAACAGCAGCAUUAUAACCUUUGCUAUUUUUUUCCCUUGUAUUCUGAAAAUAGAAGAGAAAUACAGAAAACUCUCUGGGUUAUGUAUAGUGCACUAGAGUCUGGUACAGUUCAUGAGCAGCGUCUCUAUCUCUGGUUUCUGAGACAUCCUUGCAUCCUUAUAAUAAAU
This 1680-nucleotide long non-coding RNA is filed under the name Homo sapiens (human). Its description in RNAcentral is "PREDICTED lncRNA (TCONS_00041403)". The record is from RNAcentral. Lineage: Eukaryota; Metazoa; Chordata; Mammalia; Primates; Hominidae.